GACGAACGCUGGCGGCGUGCUUAACACAUGCAAGUCGAACGGAAAGGCCCGCCACCUUGGUGGUGGGUACUCGAGUGGCGAACGGGUGAGUAACACGUGGGUGAUCUGCCCCGCACUGUGGGAUAAGCCUGGGAAACUGGGUCUAAUACCACAUACGACCAUGGCGUAGGGGUCAUGGUGGAAAGCUUUAUUGCGGUGUGGGAUGAGCCCGCGGCCUAUCAGCUUGUUGGUGGGGUAAUGGCCUACCAAGGCGGCGACGGGUAGCCGGCCUGAGAGGGUGGACGGCCACAUUGGGACUGAGACACGGCCCAGACUCCUACGGGAGGCAGCAGUGGGGAAUAUUGCACAAUGGGCGCAAGCCUGAUGCAGCGACGCCGCGUGGGGGAUGGAAGGCCUUCGGGUUGUAAACUCCUUUCGCCCGGGACGAAGCCCACCUGGUGG
This 441-nucleotide ribosomal RNA is filed under the name Corynebacterium durum. RNAcentral's name for it is "bacterial SSU rRNA". It matches the Rfam family "Bacterial small subunit ribosomal RNA", at positions 28 to 468 of the family's 1533-position model. Lineage: Bacteria; Bacillati; Actinomycetota; Actinomycetes; Mycobacteriales; Corynebacteriaceae. The record is from RNAcentral.